GAUAAACGCUGGCGGCGCACAUAAGACAUGCAAGUCGAACGGAAGUCGUUAUAAAACGGAGAGAAGAUUUAUCGGAUCGAAGAUUUGUAACAAUGGCUUUAGUGGCGGACUGGUGAGUAACACGUAAGCAACCUGGCUAUUAGAGGGGGAUAACAGUGAGAAAUCACUGCUAAUACCGCAUAAGCUUGUAAUAUCGCAUGAUAUAGCAAGAAAAGGAGCAAUCCGCUAAUAGAUGGGCUUGCGGCUGAUUAGCUAGUUGGUUAGGUAAUGGCUGACCAAGGCAACGAUCAGUAGCCGGGCUGAGAGGCUCUGCGGCCACAUUGGGACUGAGAUACGGCCCAG
RNAcentral lists this ribosomal RNA (342 nucleotides) under uncultured bacterium. Its description in RNAcentral is "bacterial SSU rRNA". It matches the Rfam family "Bacterial small subunit ribosomal RNA", at positions 28 to 334 of the family's 1533-position model. The record is from RNAcentral.